AGAGUUUGAUCCUGGCUCAGGACGAACGCUGGCGGCGUGCCUAAUACAUGCAAGUCGAGCGGACAGAUGGGAGCUUGCUCCCUGAUGUUAGCGGCGGACGGGUGAGUAACACGUGGGUAACCUGCCUGUAAGACUGGGAUCACUCCGGGAAACCGGGGCUAAUACCGGAUGCUUGUUUGAACCGCAUGGUUCAAAUAUAAAAGGUGGCUUUUAGCUACCACUUACAGAUGGACCCGCGGUGCAUUAGCUAGUUGGUGAGGUAACGGCUCACCAAGGCAACGAUGCGUAGCCGACCUGAGAGGGUGAUCGGCCACACUGGGACUGAGACACGGCCCAGACUCCUACGGGAGGCAGCAGUAGGGAAUCUUCCGCAAUGGACGAAAGUCUGACGGAGCAACGCCGCGUGAGUGAUGAAGGUUUUCGGAUCGUAAAACUC
This 436-nucleotide ribosomal RNA is filed under the name Bacillus sp. N-0-55-16. Its description in RNAcentral is "bacterial SSU rRNA". It matches the Rfam family "Bacterial small subunit ribosomal RNA", at positions 8 to 433 of the family's 1533-position model. Lineage: Bacteria; Bacillati; Bacillota; Bacilli; Caryophanales; Bacillaceae. The record is from RNAcentral.